UGAGGAAUAUUGGUCAAUGGACGCAAGUCUGAACCAGCCAUGCCGCGUGAAGGAUGAAGGCCUUCUGGGUUGUAAACUUCUUUUAUGGGGGAAGAAAAUUACGGUUUCUACUGUAACCGACGGUACCCUAGGAAUAAGCACCGGCUAACUCCGUGCCAGCAGCCGCGGUAAUACGGAGGGUGCAAGCGUUAUCCGGAUUUACUGGGUUUAAAGGGUGUGUAGGCGGGCAGUUAAGUCAGUGGUGAAAUCUCCGGGCUCAACCCGGAAACUGCCAUUGAUACUAAUUGUCUUGAAUUCUGUUGAGGAGGGCGGAAUAUGUCAUGUAGCGGUGAAAUGCAUAGAUAUGACAUAGAACACCGAUAGCGAAGGCAGCUCUCUAAGCAGACAUUGACGCUGAGGCACGAAAGCGUGGGGAUCAAACAGG
This 424-nucleotide ribosomal RNA is filed under the name uncultured bacterium. RNAcentral describes it as "bacterial SSU rRNA". It matches the Rfam family "Bacterial small subunit ribosomal RNA", at positions 355 to 776 of the family's 1533-position model. The record is from RNAcentral.